This 253-nucleotide ribosomal RNA is filed under the name uncultured bacterium. RNAcentral describes it as "partial 16S ribosomal RNA". It matches the Rfam family "Bacterial small subunit ribosomal RNA", at positions 524 to 776 of the family's 1533-position model. The record is from RNAcentral.
UACGGAGGAUGCAAGCGUUAUCCGGAAUUAUUGGGCGUAAAGCGUCCGCAGGUGGUGCAUCAAGUCUGCUGUUAAAGACCAGGGCUUAACCCCGGGAAGGCAGUGGAAACUGGUGGACUAGAGUACGGUAGGGGUAGAGGGAAUUCCCAGUGUAGCGGUGAAAUGCGUAGAGAUUGGGAAGAACACCAGUGGCGAAGGCGCUCUACUGGACCUGUACUGACACUCAGGGACGAAAGCUAGGGUAGCGAAAGGG